GAGUGGUAUGGGGGAGUCAGAGUCAGUUCAUAGGUCUCAGGAUGCAGUGCUCUUUGGGUGUCUCCAGCAUGGCUUGGCCUCUGGUUUUCCUCACUAUCCUCAGUCAAGGCUCAUGGGCUCAGUCAACCCUCACUCAGCCUCCCUCAACUUCUGGAUCUCUUGGCCAGACAGCUACCAUUUCCUGUACUGGAACCAGCAAUGAUAUUGGGAAGUACAAUUAUGUAUCUUGGUACCAACAGCAACCAGGAUUAAACCCCAAACUCCUGAUUUACAAUGUGAAUAGUCGUCCAUCAGGGAUUUCUGAUCGUUUCUCUGGCUCCAAGUCUGGCAACACAGCCUCCCUGACCAUCUCAGGGCUCCAGCCUGAGGAUGAGGCUGAUUAUUACUGUGCUUCAUAUGCAGGAAGUAACAAUUUACACAGUAGUGAAAGUUCAUGGGGAAGUUAA
Non-coding RNA from Castor canadensis (American beaver), 446 nucleotides. NCBI's taxonomy places the organism in Eukaryota, Metazoa, Chordata, Mammalia, Rodentia, Castoridae. The record is from the annotation of a RefSeq genome assembly.